GUAGGUGGCAAGCGUUGUCCGGAAUUAUUGGGCGUAAAGCGCGCGCAGGCGGUUCUUCAAGUCUGAUGUGAAAGCCCACGGCUCAACCGUGGAGGGUCAUUGGAAACUGGAGAACUUGAGUACAGAAGAGGAAAGCGGAAUUCCACGUGUAGCGGUGAAAUGCGUAGAGAUGUGGAGGAACACCAGUGGCGAAGGCGGCUUUCUGGUCUGUAACUGACGCUGAGGCGCGAAAGCGUGGGGAGCAAACAGGAUUAGAUACCCUGGUAGUCCACGCCGUAAACGAUGAGUGCUAAGUGUUAGGGGGUUUCCGCCCCCCUUAGUGCUGCAGCUAACGCAUUAAGCACUCCGCCCUGGGAGUACGGCCGCAAGGCUG
This 373-nucleotide ribosomal RNA is filed under the name uncultured organism. RNAcentral's name for it is "partial 16S ribosomal RNA". It matches the Rfam family "Bacterial small subunit ribosomal RNA", at positions 527 to 896 of the family's 1533-position model. The record is from RNAcentral.